GAGCCUGGCCAAGCUGCACGGGGCAUCGGCGGGCGCGCCCCACUCGGCCCAGACGCAUCCCCACCACCAUCACCACCCUCACCACCACCACCACCACCACCCCCCGCAGCCGCCGUCGCCGCUUCUGCUGCUGCCCCCGCAGCCCGACGAGCAGGGUUCCGAGCGCCACCACCCGGCCCCGCCGCCGCCGCCGCCCCCGCGGCCCCCUCUGGCCCCGCACCCGCACCACCGAGGCCUUCUGUCUCCCGGGGGAACCAGCUGCAGCUACCCCAGCGAGGACAGCUCCGAGGACGAGGACGACGAGGAAGAAGAGCAGGAGGUGGACGUGGAGGGCCACAAGCCCCCCGAGGGCGAGGAAGAGGAGGAAGGUCGAGACCCUGACGACGACGAGGAAGAGGACGAGGAGACGGAGGUCCUACUCGGCGACCCCUUAGUCGGGGGCGGCCGGUUCCUGCAGGGCCGAGGGCCGUCGGAGAAGGGGAGCAGCCGGGACCGCGCGCCGGCCGUCGCGGGCGCGUUCCCGCUCGGCCUGAACUCCUCCAGGCUGCUGCAGGAAGACGGGAAACUCGGGGACCCCGGCUCGGACCUGCCCCCGCCCCCGCCGCCGCCCCUGGCCCCCCAGAAGGCGAGUGGCGGCGGCAGCAGCAGCCCGGGCAGCCCAGUUCACCAUCCAUCACUGGAGGAGCAGCCCUCCUACAAAGAUAGUCAGAAAACUAAGGAAAAUAACCAAGUAAUUGUAUCUACAAAGGAUGACAACAGCUUUUCAGAUAAGAACAAGGAGCAUAGCUUUUUCAUCACAGACUCUGAUGCUUCUGGAGGAGAUUUUUGGAGAGAAAGAUCAGGUGAACAUACACAAGAAACCAACUCACCUCAUUCACUGAAAAAGGAUGUAGAAAAUAUGGGGAAAGAAGAACUUCAGAAGGUUUUAUUUGAACAAAUAGAUUUACGGAGACGACUGGAACAAGAAUUCCAGGUGUUAAAAGGAAACACGUCUUUCCCAGUAUUCAAUAAUUUUCAGGAUCAGAUGAAAAGGGAGCUAGCCUACCGAGAAGAAAUGGUGCAACAGUUACAAAUUAUCCCCUAUGCAGCAAGCUUGAUCAGGAAAGAAAAGCUGGGCGCCCAUCUCAGCAAAAGCUAAAAGGUGCACAGAACUACUUACUCUUGUUCUCUUGUAAGAUACAGCCUGCCAUGGAGCACUUCUGACCCGCUUUAAAGACUGCAGAUCGAAAGGGCUUGGGAAUUAAAUACAAAAUCAGGUUCAGGAGAACCUAAGGACAAGUGACCUCAAAACAGCAUGGACAACCAUGUAAAAUAGACUGUAGCAGCCAUUCAUUAGUGGGGGGAGGGGGGAGCCAACCAGAGCAGUCAAUGCUUGUUGCAUCUUUUGGUGGAACCAAAGUUCGAGUCUUUGUGUUUUUAAAGGACAGCUGAACCCAGAGCAUGGGAAGUGCUGUUAGCCAGUUGGGAUGGGAAAUCAGCGGAUGGUCCCAGGCAGUCUCAGUCCUGCACACAUGGAGAAAGCAACUCUACAAAACUGUCUUUUCUUUUUGAAGAAGUGAUUCUUGGUGGAAGAAAACACAAGACCCAUCCUAGGAGUGGGGAUCGCGUUUCAAUGGAUGGGAAGGCACCAGCCGUACAAACCUGCUUUUCAUAGCAAACUGGACAGACUUACACGUGGCCCCUUCCUCUCUGUACUUUGCCUGCUGUUUGAAUGAAGAUUGUAUUCCUUUGGAAAUAUUUUACAGUUUAAUAUUGAGUGUAAUUAAGAAUAUAAUCAUGUUAUCAAAAAUGGCAUUUAACUCUGUUGUAGUUUCUUUAACAUUCAUGUGGAUAAAAAAGUCUAUAAUAAAAAAACUAUGAAG
Pan paniscus (pygmy chimpanzee) is the source of this 1862-nucleotide long non-coding RNA. NCBI's taxonomy places the organism in Eukaryota, Metazoa, Chordata, Mammalia, Primates, Hominidae. The record is from Ensembl.